GACGAACGCUGGCGGCGUGCUUAACACAUGCAAGUCGAACGAAGUGUAGCAAUACACUUAGUGGCGACGGGUGAGUAACACGUGAGCAAUCUGCCCUAUACACUGGGAUAACACAGAGAAAUUUGUGCUAAUACCGGAUAAGACCACACUGCGGCAUCGCAGAGAGGUAAAAGGUCCGCCGGUAUAGGAGGAGCUCGCGGCCCAUUAGAUAGUUGGUGAGGUAACGGCCCACCAAGUCGACGAUGGGUAGCCGACCUGAGAGGGUGAUCGGCCACAUUGGAACUGAGAUACGGUCCAAACUCCUACGGGAGGCAGCAGUGGGGAAUAUUGGGCAAUGGACGCAAGUCUGACCCAGCAACGCCGCGUGAAGGAAGAAGGCUUUCGGGUUGUAAACUUCUUUUAAGAGGGAAGAGUAGAAGACGGUACCUCUUGAAUAAGCCACGGCUAACUACGUG
This 455-nucleotide ribosomal RNA is filed under the name uncultured bacterium. RNAcentral's name for it is "bacterial SSU rRNA". It matches the Rfam family "Bacterial small subunit ribosomal RNA", at positions 28 to 507 of the family's 1533-position model. The record is from RNAcentral.